AGAGCAAGUAGUUGAAAUUGAGAAAACCAAUGAGUUGAAUGCUGGGCAGAACAUGGAUGCGUUGUUUGAAAGCUCUAACUUUGAUUUUGAUUUUGUGGAGUGUACACAAAUGCCUGAGAUGUAUUAUAGUGUGAGGCCUAUAGAUCAAUUGACAUGGGAUUCACAGGCCUUGCAAUAACAAAAUAAACCAGUAUCUUCUAAUUUCUCUAUGUGCG
This 215-nucleotide unclassified non-coding RNA is filed under the name Hevea brasiliensis (rubber tree). Lineage: Eukaryota; Viridiplantae; Streptophyta; Magnoliopsida; Malpighiales; Euphorbiaceae. The record is from RNAcentral.